CAUGCAAGUCGAACGGCAGCGGGGCCUUCUUGAUCUCUGGAGGGCGAGUGGGGUAAGGAAGGGGAAUACAUCUGAAUGGCUUUUUCGAUAAGGAUAACGUACGGAAACUAAUACCGAUACCGCCUACGACCUACGGGUGGGGGAUCGGGAGACCCCGACCUUUCGCAAUAGACUGAGCCGAAGUCGGAUUAUGGAGGGGGAGGGGUAAAGGCCCGCCACGAUGCCGAUCCGGUCCUGGACGAAGAGGAUGAUCACUGGAACUGAAACUGGGACCAGACCCAUACUCCUGGGGGAGGUGGGGAAGAUUGAACUUGGACAAAGGGCCCGAUCCUGACCCGCCCCUUGCGUGAGGAAGGUCUUCGGCUUCGAAUUGACUUGACCUUUUGAGGAAGGGCAAAUCCUUCUGGCCUGGACCUUUUGGGGUUGCCGGUACAAUAAGAAUCGGCUCACUUCAUGUUCGCGCCCGCGGCCAUACGAAUGCGGAAGGCGUAAAUCUUAAUCACUGUUACUGAAGCGCACGCGUGCGUUUGUGCUAGUUUGAGGUGAAUUCGCAAGCCUCGACCUGAAAACUGCCUCUGAAACUACUGCUGUACAACUCGGAUGAGGGUGAUGGUAUCUCCUGUGCAGGUGUGACAUUGAUAUAUCAUGGGGAGCAUCAACAGUGGAGACGGCGACCUCGUGGACUAAUACCGACGAUGCGGUGAAAAAGGGGGGGCAGCCAACAUUAUAUGACACCGUGGUAGUCCCCCCAGUAAAUGAUGUCGACUAGCCGUGGGCAUCUUUGCAAUCAGAAUGGCACAUCUAACGUUAUAAUUCCCCCGCGUGGAGAGUGGGGCCACAAGGUUAAAUCUAAAGUAAAUUCGGGGGGGCCCGCACAAGCGGUAGAACAUGUGUUUUAAUUAGAAGCAACGAAAAGCCCCUCCCGUCCCCUUCACAUGGAGAGAUUUUCCCAGAGAGGGAUUGGCCCUUUGGAAAUCUCACACACAGGUGGCACAUGGCUGUUCUCAUCUUGUGUCGAGAGAUUUUGGUAAAAGUCCCGUAGAGAGCGCACCCCUUCUCUUUAGUCCCCAGCACCUCGGGUGGGCAUUUUAAGGAGCCUCCGGGUGCCAACCCGGAGGAAGGGGGGAAGGAGGCCAAGUCUUCAUGCCCCUUCCGCCCAGGGCACCCCACGUGCUCCAAUGGUGGGACCAAAGGGUUCACACCGCGGGAGGUGAACCAAUUCCCAUAAAACCGUUUCUAGUCCGGAUCGCAUUCUCAAAUUGGAUUCAGGAAAGUCGGAAUCGCUAGUAAUCGUGAAUCAGAAUUCACGGUGAAUACGUUCCCGGGCCUUGUACACACCGCCCGUCACACCAUGGAGUUUGUUGCUCCAGAAGCAGGUAGCUUAACC
Molecule: ribosomal RNA, 1387 nt
Filed under: Pseudomonas sp. tap-9
Lineage: Bacteria; Pseudomonadati; Pseudomonadota; Gammaproteobacteria; Pseudomonadales; Pseudomonadaceae
Description: bacterial SSU rRNA
Rfam family: Bacterial small subunit ribosomal RNA
Source: RNAcentral